GUGGGUUGCCAUGCCCUCCUCCAGGGGAUCUUCCUGACCCAGGGAUUGAAGCCGGGUCUCCUGCAUUGGCAGGCGGACCGGUUACCAUCUGAGCCAGCAGGGAAGCAGAAGAAGAAAGCAGCUCUCCACCCGGGGACGAGGCGGCCUCGAGGUGGAGAAGCUGGUUUCCACCCCCGAACGCGCUCACGCCGCCCUGCGCCCACGGCGGCUGCUCGUCCUCUGUACAGGGGGCUCUGGCCAGUUUCUCGCGGAUUCGAGGAGGGGCGAGCACUCGGUUCCCGCCGUUCGGGCCUUUGCCUAUUACUCCCGUUUGUUUGGGUUUUACUUUUCCUGACCGUGGCACUUCUGGCUCUGUUGGAAAAUGUCACAUGGUUCACACCAACGUUUCUAUUCAGCAGGCGUGUAAGCAGCAGAGAAUGCACGCGCAAGGCCACUUCCACGUCUCCCUGGAGUUCACACCCAUUGCUUUUAAGAUUCCCUGGCCGCAGCUGCUUUGGAGAAGGCUCGCAGAAGCAUUACCCAGCAAGGGGAGCGACCCCGGCAAGGCGUAAGGUGGUCUGACGGACGCGCGCAGGUGGACAUCUGGAAAGAAAUCUGCUGACCCAAAGGGCCCAGCGGCCAAGGCCCCGGCCAGCAGAGGAGGGGUCAGCCCCGGGGCCACCCGUGUCCCAGCUAGCACGGAAGGCAGUCCCUCCAGUGGGCACACGCGCAAAUCUGUUCCCGUAAAAGAUAGAGGCAAGAGUUCUUUCGGUGGUGAGCAAUCGAAACAUUGCAGCUGGGACCUGCUGGGCCCGGUUCAGCCUUUGUGUUCCAUCCAGAGUUGGGCUGGCUCCAGGCGCUUGGUUCAGUCUGCAGGGAGCCAAACACGCUCCUCAUGGUUUAGGGAACUGCUGCAGUCGAGACCCUGAGCGGGCCGGGGAGCUGGGGACACCAGGGACCCUGCCUCUGGGGACAGUGCUCUGAACAGGGCGGUCAUUACAGGUGGAGCUUUGUAACAGCAGCCGAAAACUUAUAAAUCCAGUUCUAAGUCAUGACUGUGCGAGCCAGAGGGGAGCACGUUGAUGGGAUGCAAACGAAAAUACAGAAGCUUGAUGAAAACAGCACGACUGUGGGAGGCCAAGUGGAACCGUGGGCUGCGAGCUGGCGGUCCGACGACACGGGUCGGGGGGGUGACCUCCAGUGGUGCGGGCACCCACAUGCCCUGAGCCCCCGCCCAUCAGACCCCGUGCUCUAAGCCCCGCCCCCCAUCAGACCGCGUGCCCUGAGUUGUGCUAAGCAGUUCUCCCAGCAGUCUAGCGUAACAGCCGUUGUCAUCACUGCUUUACAGAGGAGGACCCUGAAGGCCCGAUGGUCAAGAUUACGUGGCCAACGAGACACGUCUGGGAGCUAGAGCGAAGGCCCCUCGGCUCCCAGGUCCCUUAGGGGCACCGUGCUGCUUCCUGAACA
Molecule: long non-coding RNA, 1446 nt
Filed under: Bos indicus x Bos taurus (hybrid cattle)
Lineage: Eukaryota; Metazoa; Chordata; Mammalia; Artiodactyla; Bovidae
Description: lncRNA (ENSBIXG00005024418.1)
Source: RNAcentral